RNAcentral lists this long non-coding RNA (2746 nucleotides) under Hordeum vulgare. RNAcentral's name for it is "long non-coding RNA (HVUL_LNC004115)". The record is from RNAcentral. Lineage: Eukaryota; Viridiplantae; Streptophyta; Magnoliopsida; Poales; Poaceae.
AGCUUGUGACUCAUUGAUAUACCAAUCAGAAAACACAUUUAAAAUAUAUUCAACUAACUCAUUGAUAUACCAAUUAGAAAACAGAUUUAAAAUAUAUUCAACUAACAUCCAAACUCAGUUUAUUACAAUAUUCCACACAAUCACAAUAUAACCAUACAAUAUUCCACCAAUCACAAUACAACACAUAAAACGCUCAACAAGUAUAGGAACGUCUCCAACACCUUAUAGUGCCUUCAACCUGCAAAACAUCAACAUCCAUCCACAUAUUAACCAUUGAGUUGAGAUCAAUUCACCCCUUGACGGAAAUAAGAAUAUGCGCUCAUGUAUGAACAAAACUAAAAUAAACAAACUUUGAGGCCAUAGCAUGUGCUACAAAAAUGUUAACAAUUUUUUUAAUAAUUUGUGGUAGCUUGUUCAAAUUCUACUGCAAGGAUUUCAGAUAUGUAUGUAUACUCAAAGUUUCAUAGAUAUUUGUGUGCAAAAUUAAUCUCCCGGUUUCAGAUACGUGUGUAUGCAAACUUAAUCGAUUCCUGGUGCUACUCCUAGUGCACACUUAUUAGAUAUACAGAAAUCAUGGUUAAAAUUCACAUGUACAUGUCCUGGUCCAGUCAAUCACUUACCUUCGUGAUUGCAUCCAUGUCAUGAAGCAGGACAUGGCUGAAUUGGCCUUCACUCACACCAACCAUGUAUAUGAGAAUGAUCAGUCAGCCAAUGAGGUCCAUUGAUUGCACAAGAUGAAAAGAACAUCCUGAAUUUGGGCACAUAUAUACCUAUAGAAAUAGCAGCAUCUCAAUCACUGUAUAAUCAGCAAGCACACAUAGCAGCAGUAAUAAGAACUCUCUGAAUCACAAACACUAAUCAGCACCCCUCUAUGCCAAUCUAUCUCCAACGGAUGAAACAACAAUAUCUCACUCAUCUCAGACGAAUCCUCUCCCAUCUCCCUCUCUCUGAAUCUCAUAUCACCUGAAGCAUAACAUGAGCUCGUUAAUAGACCAACCAAUUUCAUGUUUUUUCUAAUAAAAAGGAAGAGCCAAACUGUAUCUUAUCAUAUGAGGAGAAGAAAAAUAUAAGGGGUCAUACUUAUUCUGCGCCUAUUACGCUGGACCACACCACAUCUUCCAACAUGCUAUCCAAGACUAGCACUAGAAGAUGAAACACACAUAAUGUGUGUGAUGAACAACGGGUUUUAAGGCCAAACACACAUCAGGACGCUGAUAUAAGCCGACGGUACAUUCCCCACGGAGGAGGGAAACUGAGGAAUAAGCCAGCAGCCCCCUCACCUCCAGUACAAGGCUGUUCUCCGGAGAUAUAUGAGAAAGGCAAGCAUCGCGACCCUGCCAUUUACUCGAAGCUACGGGACACACACAGGAUAAAUAAAGAGAAAAACCAACAUCCCCUUUCUUUGCUCCCUUGAGCGUUGGCACAUAAUAAUGCGCUUGAUUGGGACAUGGGUUAACUGAAAUGUUGUGACGUGGUAAUUCCAUGAUGGAGGAAGUACUAGCUAGUACUCCCUCAGUUCCUAAAUAUAUGUCUUUUUAGAGGUUCCACUAGUGGGCUAUAUAUGGUUAUAUAUAGACAUACUUUAGAGUGUAUAUUCAUUCAUUUUACUCCGUAUGUAGACCCCUAGUGAAAUCUUUUAAAAGACUUAUAUUUAGGAACGGAGGGAGUACAUACACACAUGUCACACCGAGACAGAAUCCCCACACCCGCUCUGUUUACCGAAUGGAGGGAGGAAGUGACGAGAUCCCCUGUCCAUCCCUGUUGAGGGCUCAGCACCAUGCAGCACGGGCGGACCUAACGAGGCUCGCAGGUUGGGUUCAAGAUUCCGAGGGUACGGCUGGGUAGGGUUAGCAUGUCGCACCGCUAGAAGUAAAAGAAACAAAACAAGAGGGAAAAAAUAACGGAGAAGGAAGGGAGCAUAUCGGAUGAACCAGCCCAACGGAUGAAGAAGCAGCAAGCAAAUAUAGAGGCAUCUCCCUCUUGGCUCUCUCCCCACCCCCAAAUCGAGCCCACCGUCGCUCCCGUCAUCCCCUUCAACAGCGGCAAUGAGUCUGGGACACAUGUCCAUCCCGCUCGGCUCUCUCCCCACCGCAGGGGAUACAUCGCAUCCCCGUGUGCAGCCCCGGCGACCGUGGCACGCCCUCUAUCUACAUCCUGGCAGUGUCGCCUCUCCCUCCUCCAACUUUCUAUGCUUUGCUCGAUCUAAGAGAAAAUCAAGGGUAGGACGGACCUGUGAUGCGGAGGACAUGACGUGGUGACGGGAACGAUCUGCCCGGAGGUGGAGGCGGGAAUGAUCUGCUAUUUGUACUCCUUGAGACGCGCCUUGAGCUCAUGGUCCUCCUCCGACUGCGAAAGGCUUGAAACACGAGUCACGCGACCACACCCGUAAGAGAGAGGAUGAGUGGCGCCCCCGCCCCAUGGGAAGAAAGCAGAGGAAGAGAAGGGGGGAAGCUCUGGGGUCGUCGUUGCUCACCGGGUUGUCCCCCUUCGUCUUCCCCUUUCCCUUGGCCGGCUGUGGCAGGGCGUGGGAGGCGGCAUGAACUCUGUCGCCGCCACUAGCAUCCUCGUGCGACGAGGGAGAGCAGAUUAGGAUUUGGAUCUCCGUCUGGAUCGGGGGAGGAUAGGGACUGAGGGAGGAGGCGGCGGAAGGAAGUUAAACGAGGGAGCAGAGGGUGUCGUGCACUGCGUUUAGGUUUAGCUAUAUGAGAGGCGAGUGAGAGGCGAGUGAGAGACGUUGGAUCCGCAG